Amphiprion ocellaris (clown anemonefish) is the source of this 639-nucleotide long non-coding RNA. RefSeq lists it as uncharacterized. NCBI's taxonomy places the organism in Eukaryota, Metazoa, Chordata, Actinopteri, Pomacentridae. The record is from RefSeq and is a predicted model, not a curated record. The transcript is spliced from 3 exons.
UAAAUUAGAGCUCUGUAAGACUUUACACUAAUUUAAAGCUGAGAGAGAAGACCGUGAGUGGUUAAAUAGUAACGGACGCAGGAGAAACUGUUAGCUCGUCUAGCUAACUAGCCUAGCUAACUGGGGAUUAACCGGAUUGAACUGGAUCCUCCGACACAGAGGGAGGAAGAAGCCGAGAGCCCACCGCCCCACACCAGGCCCCGACCUUGAACCGGAGACUCGUAAUUUGAGCUGGAGACCCCGAACCUGAACGGGAGACCCCAAACCUGCACCAGAGACCCGCAACCUGAACCAGAGACCCGUAACCUGAACCAGAGACCCCAAACCUGCACCAGAGACCCGCAACCUGCACCAGAGACCCCGAACCUGAACCAGAACCUGCUCCAGGAUCUCUGCUAGCUCCUUCUGAGUAUCUCCAUUUCGUCAUGCUUUCAGCUCUUUCCAUUUCUCUCCAAGGAGAUGAGAAAAGAAGUGUAAUUACCUGAAGGAGACCAAACCCUCUGUUAGUGGCGCAGAAAUCCUGCCGUAAUGACAAAAGCUGGAUGUUGAGCUGCCACAGAGCUGCCAUCUUAAGCUGUCAACACGGACUCCUUCCCAUCGCUGCGUUUCCUCCCACAUGACGACGUAAGAUGCUUACAG